This 241-nucleotide unclassified non-coding RNA is filed under the name Hevea brasiliensis (rubber tree). The record is from RNAcentral. Lineage: Eukaryota; Viridiplantae; Streptophyta; Magnoliopsida; Malpighiales; Euphorbiaceae.
GCUGGAAUUGGUAGUCGCUGGGGAUAUAAUGUAGGCAUCGGCACCGAAAGGAACAAGCAAGAGUCACUUCAAUCGCUACAAGCAAGAGGAAGAGGCAGGAAUGGAGAGUUCUUUAGAAAAGGUACACAAGCAAUCGCCACAGGAACCGGUAUAUAUGAGUAAUCGUAAUGCACGCAAUCAAAGGAACCGUAAACUGGAUCUCCUUCGCUUCGUCCCCUCCACCGAAACCGCCAGUUUACAA